RNAcentral lists this ribosomal RNA (331 nucleotides) under Pimelodus maculatus. RNAcentral's name for it is "partial large subunit ribosomal RNA". Lineage: Eukaryota; Metazoa; Chordata; Actinopteri; Siluriformes; Pimelodidae. The record is from RNAcentral.
AAAGAGGGGUUAACUGUUUCCCUUUCAAGUCAAAGAAAUUGAUCUGCCCGUGCAGAAGCGGGUAUAUAAAUACAAGACGAGAAGACCCUUUGGAGCUUAAGAUAAAAAAUCAACUAUGUCAAAUAUUUACUAAAUAAAACUAAAUAGUAACUGAUCAUAAUCUUCGGUUGGGCGACCAACGGAAUACGGAUAAACAACUGCACAUGGAGGGGAAAAACCUCCUUUAACAAGAGAGAUUCUCUAAGUCACAGAACAUCUCUGAGACCAAUAGAUCCGGCCAAUCAAGCCGAUCACAAUACGGACCAAGUUACCCCUAGGGAAUUAUAACAGC